RNAcentral lists this ribosomal RNA (944 nucleotides) under uncultured bacterium. RNAcentral's name for it is "bacterial SSU rRNA". It matches the Rfam family "Bacterial small subunit ribosomal RNA", at positions 582 to 1532 of the family's 1533-position model. The record is from RNAcentral.
GNAAAGNAAGAUGUGAAAUNCCAGGGCUCANCNUGGAACUGCAUUUUUAACUGCCGAGCUAGAGUAUGUCAGAGGGGGGUAGAAUUCCACGUGUAGCAGUGAAAUGCGUAGAUAUGUGGAGGAAUACCGAUGGCGAAGGCAGCCCCCUGGGAUAAUACUGACGCUCAGACACGAAAGCGUGGGGAGCAAACAGGAUUAGAUACCCUGGUAGUCCACGCCCUAAACGAUGUCAACUAGCUGUUGGGGCCGUUAGGCCUUAGUAGCGCAGCUAACGCGUGAAGUUGACCGCCUGGGGAGUACGGUCGCAAGAUUAAAACUCAAAGGAAUUGACGGGGACCCGCACAAGCGGUGGAUGAUGUGGAUUAAUUCGAUGCAACGCGAAAAACCUUACCUACCCUUGACAUGUCUGGAAUCCCGAAGAGAUUUGGGAGUGCUCGCAAGAGAACCGGAACACAGGUGCUGCAUGGCUGUCGUCAGCUCGUGUCGUGAGAUGUUGGGUUAAGUCCCGCAACGAGCGCAACCCUUGUCAUUAGUUGCUACGCAAGAGCACUCUAAUGAGACUGCCGGUGACAAACCGGAGGAAGGUGGGGAUGACGUCAAGUCCUCAUGGCCCUUAUGGGUAGGGCUUCACACGUCAUACAAUGGUCGGGACAGAGGGUCGCCAACCCGCGAGGGGGAGCCAAUCUCAGAAACCCGAUCGUAGUCCGGAUCGCAGUCUGCAACUCGACUGCGUGAAGUCGGAAUCGCUAGUAAUCGCGGAUCAGAAUGUCGCGGUGAAUACGUUCCCGGGUCUUGUACACACCGCCCGUCACACCAUGGGAGUGGGUUUCACCAGAAGUAGGUAGCCUAACCGUAAGGAGGGCGCUUACCACGGUGGAAUUCAUGACUGGGGUGAAGUCGUAACAAGGUAGCCGUAUCGGAAGGUGCGGCUGGAUCACCUCCUU